GGGAAGCCCUGAUCCAGCCAUGCCGCGUGUGUGAAGAAGGCCUUUUGGUUGUAAAGCACUUUAAGCAGUGAAGAAGACCUAAUGGUUAAUACCCAUUAGCGAUGACAUUAGCUGCAGAAUAAGCCACGGCUAACUUUGUGCCAGCAGCCGCGGUAAUACAGAGGGUGCAAGCGUUAAUCGGAAUUACUGGGCGUAAAGCGAGCGUAGGUGGCUUGAUAAGUCAGAUGUGAAAUCCCCGGGCUUAACCUGGGAACUGCAUCUGAAACUGUUAGGCUAGAGUAGGUGAGAGGGAAGUAGAAUUUCAGGUGUAGCGGUGAAAUGCGUAGAGAUCUGAAGGAAUACCGAUGGCGAAGGCAGCUUCCUGGCAUCAUACUGACACUGAGGCUCGAAAGCGUGGGUAGCAAACAGGAUUAGAUACCCUGGUAGUCCACGCCGUAAACGAUGUCUACUAGUCGUUGGGUCCCUUGAGGACUUAGUGACGCAGCUAACGCAAUAAGUAGACCGCCUGGGGAGUACGGCCGCAAGGUUAAAACUCAAAUGAAUUGACGGGGGCCCGCACAAGCGGUGGAGCAUGUGGUUUAAUUCGAUGCAACGCGAAGAACCUUACCUGGUCUUGACAUAUCUAGAAUCCUGCAGAGAUGCGGGAGUGCCUUCGGGAAUUAGAAUACAGGUGCUGCAUGGCUGUCGUCAGCUCGUGUCGUGAGA
RNAcentral lists this ribosomal RNA (705 nucleotides) under Psychrobacter sp. V4.MO.27. Its description in RNAcentral is "bacterial SSU rRNA". It matches the Rfam family "Bacterial small subunit ribosomal RNA", at positions 375 to 1072 of the family's 1533-position model. The record is from RNAcentral. Lineage: Bacteria; Pseudomonadati; Pseudomonadota; Gammaproteobacteria; Moraxellales; Moraxellaceae.